ACAGUUAUAAAUCAACAUAUUGAUUUAUAAGCAUGGAAAUCCCCUGAGUGAAACAACGAAUUGCUGUGUGUAGUCUUUGCCCAUCUCCCACGAUGGGCUUUUUUUUUA
This 108-nucleotide non-coding RNA is filed under the name Escherichia coli. RNAcentral's name for it is "antisense sRNA RprA". It matches the Rfam family "RprA RNA". From Rfam's summary of the family: Translational regulation of the stationary phase sigma factor RpoS is mediated by the formation of a double-stranded RNA stem-loop structure in the upstream region of the rpoS messenger RNA, occluding the translation initiation site. Clones carrying rprA (RpoS regulator RNA A) increased the translation of RpoS. The rprA gene encodes a 106 nucleotide regulatory RNA. The record is from RNAcentral. Lineage: Bacteria; Pseudomonadati; Pseudomonadota; Gammaproteobacteria; Enterobacterales; Enterobacteriaceae.